Molecule: ribosomal RNA, 424 nt
Filed under: uncultured bacterium
Lineage: Bacteria
Description: bacterial SSU rRNA
Rfam family: Bacterial small subunit ribosomal RNA
Source: RNAcentral
UGAGGAAUAUUGCGCAAUGGAGGAAACUCUGACGCAGCCAUGCCGCGUGCAGGAAGACGGCCCUACGGGUUGUAAACUGCUUUUAUCCGGGAAGAAACCCCAGGACGUGUCCUGGGUUGACGGUACCGGAGGAAUAAGCACCGGCUAACUCCGUGCCAGCAGCCGCGGUAAUACGGAGGGUGCAAGCGUUAUCCGGAUUCAUUGGGUUUAAAGGGUGCGUAGGCGGGGUGGUAAGUCAGUGGUGAAAUCCUGCAGCUUAACUGUAGAAUUGCCAUUGAUACUGCCAUUCUUGAGUGCGCUUGAAGUGGGCGGAAUGUGCCGUGUAGCGGUGAAAUGCUUAGAUAUGGCACAGAACACCAAUUGCGAAGGCAGCUCACUAAGGCGAUACUGACGCUGAGGCACGAAAGCGUGGGGAUCGAACAGG